RNAcentral lists this ribosomal RNA (259 nucleotides) under uncultured bacterium. Its description in RNAcentral is "partial 16S ribosomal RNA". It matches the Rfam family "Bacterial small subunit ribosomal RNA", at positions 97 to 353 of the family's 1533-position model. The record is from RNAcentral.
GGCGCACGGGUGAGUAACACGUAUCCAACCUGCCGUCUACUCUUGGACAGCCUUCUGAAAGGAAGAUUAAUACAAGAUGGCAUCAUGAGUCCGCAUGUUCACAUGAUUAAAGGUAUUCCGGUAGACGAUGGGGAUGCGUUCCAUUAGAUAGUAGGCGGGGUAACGGCCCACCUAGUCUUCGAUGGAUAGGGGUUCUGAGAGGAAGGGUCCCCCACAUUGGAACUGAGACACGGUCCAAACUCCUACGGGAGGCAGCAUG